This 970-nucleotide long non-coding RNA is filed under the name Salmo salar (Atlantic salmon). Its description in RNAcentral is "lncRNA (ENSSSAG00000098031.1)". The record is from RNAcentral. Lineage: Eukaryota; Metazoa; Chordata; Actinopteri; Salmoniformes; Salmonidae.
AGAGUUUCAGGCUUGUUUUUGCAAAAAUGAGCUAGAAUUUGUAGUUUUUCUAGGUGGCUCCCAAUUUUGGCUGUAGUGUUUUCAUGCACGUGGAUGAGAGCAAGUUCUUUGUUGUUUUUCUCCGGUGUUGCAGAGGCUUGGGGAGGAAAAGGUGUAUAUGUGCUGUUGUCUAGAAUCGGCCCAUAUCAAAUCUUUUAUCAGGAUCUCCACAGAACUGGUCCAAAUAUGGAGCUGGAAAGUGAGACCAUCAAUGCCUACAUGUUCCAUCUGGUGCAGAAUUUUAAUAGGCAGUCAACCGAGCAAACCUUCUACAUUGACACCUUUGAAAUUACUGGCAUUUGGGGGAGCAAGAAAUCAAAACUUACGAUUGAUCCAAUGAUGUACAAGUACAUUAUUGGCAUCAUCAAUGAACACAACCACUGGACUGUGACGGUUAUGCUGCCAUCCAAAAAGAGGGCUCUGUUCCUCGACCCAAUGUGGGAAAAGUUCCAGAAAGAUAAAUAGAUGCCUGGGGGUGACAAGAUCAUUCCUGAGAGAGAAGGGGUGUAAUAUCUCCAGAUGGGCGUGUGGUACCCUUCCUCACCCAUGCCAACAAGAUGUUACUUCUUGUGGGGUCUUUGCCUUGAAAUUUGCUGAAUGUGUUCUGAAGGAGAAGUCGAUUGUCUUUUCAAAUACGGACAAAGAUGAUAACAUCAUGAGAGAAGAAAUAGCAGUCACUCUCCUCCAAAACACUGAUGACCUGAGCCAACUGUACCACUUCUGUGGGGAGGUGGACAAUAAUGAGGAAGACACUAACUGGAUUUCUUGUGACCGCUGCCCACGAUGGUUCCACCAGUCCUGUAUGAAAACCAUCCCAUCAUUGGAGGAUUAUGUCUGCGCUGCCUGUCAGAACUAGGUUAAGUUUGAGUUCCAGGCGACGGUAUCACCUGGAAAACUUUCCAUAAAAAGUGGACUAAAUGUUCAGUCGAGC